RNAcentral lists this ribosomal RNA (1571 nucleotides) under Lactiplantibacillus plantarum. RNAcentral's name for it is "Lactobacillus plantarum partial 16S ribosomal RNA". It matches the Rfam family "Bacterial small subunit ribosomal RNA". The record is from RNAcentral. Lineage: Bacteria; Bacillati; Bacillota; Bacilli; Lactobacillales; Lactobacillaceae.
AACUCUGGUAUUGAUUGGUGCUUGCAUCAUGAUUUACAUUUGAGUGAGUGGCGAACUGGUGAGUAACACGUGGGAAACCUGCCCAGAAGCGGGGGAUAACACCUGGAAACAGAUGCUAAUACCGCAUAACAACUUGGACCGCAUGGUCCGAGUUUGAAAGAUGGCUUCGGCUAUCACUUUUGGAUGGUCCCGCGGCGUAUUAGCUAGAUGGUGAGGUAACGGCUCACCAUGGCAAUGAUACGUAGCCGACCUGAGAGGGUAAUCGGCCACAUUGGGACUGAGACACGGCCCAAACUCCUACGGGAGGCAGCAGUAGGGAAUCUUCCACAAUGGACGAAAGUCUGAUGGAGCAACGCCGCGUGAGUGAAGAAGGGUUUCGGCUCGUAAAACUCUGUUGUUAAAGAAGAACAUAUCUGAGAGUAACUGUUCAGGUAUUGACGGUAUUUAACCAGAAAGCCACGGCUAACUACGUGCCAGCAGCCGCGGUAAUACGUAGGUGGCAAGCGUUGUCCGGAUUUAUUGGGCGUAAAGCGAGCGCAGGCGGUUUUUUAAGUCUGAUGUGAAAGCCUUCGGCUCAACCGAAGAAGUGCAUCGGAAACUGGGAAACUUGAGUGCAGAAGAGGACAGUGGAACUCCAUGUGUAGCGGUGAAAUGCGUAGAUAUAUGGAAGAACACCAGUGGCGAAGGCGGCUGUCUGGUCUGUAACUGACGCUGAGGCUCGAAAGUAUGGGUAGCAAACAGGAUUAGAUACCCUGGUAGUCCAUACCGUAAACGAUGAAUGCUAAGUGUUGGAGGGUUUCCGCCCUUCAGUGCUGCAGCUAACGCAUUAAGCAUUCCGCCUGGGGAGUACGGCCGCAAGGCUGAAACUCAAAGGAAUUGACGGGGGCCCGCACAAGCGGUGGAGCAUGUGGUUUAAUUCGAAGCUACGCGAAGAACCUUACCAGGUCUUGACAUACUAUGCAAAUCUAAGAGAUUAGACGUUCCCUUCGGGGACAUGGAUACAGGUGGUGCAUGGUUGUCGUCAGCUCGUGUCGUGAGAUGUUGGGUUAAGUCCCGCAACGAGCGCAACCCUUAUUAUCAGUUGCCAGCAUUAAGUUGGGCACUCUGGUGAGACUGCCGGUGACAAACCGGAGGAAGGUGGGGAUGACGUCAAAUCAUCAUGCCCCUUAUGACCUGGGCUACACACGUGCUACAAUGGAUGGUACAACGAGUUGCGAACUCGCGAGAGUAAGCUAAUCUCUUAAAGCCAUUCUCAGUUCGGAUUGUAGGCUGCAACUCGCCUACAUGAAGUCGGAAUCGCUAGUAAUCGCGGAUCAGCAUGCCGCGGUGAAUACGUUCCCGGGCCUUGUACACACCGCCCGUCACACCAUGAGAGUUUGUAACACCCAAAGUCGGUGGGGUAACCUUUUAGGAACCAGCCGCCUAAGGUGGGACAGAUGAUUAGGGUGAAGUCGUAACAAGGUAGCCGUAGGAGAACCUGCGGCUGGAUCACCUCCUUUCUAAGGAAUAUUACGGAAACCUACACACGCGUCGAAACUUUGUUUAGUUUUGAGAGAUUUAACUCUCAAAAC